CCUACGGGAGACAGCAGUCGGGAAUCUUGCGCAAUGGAGGAAACUCUGACGCAGUGACGCCGCGUGCAGGAAGAAGGUUUUCGGAUUGUAAACUGCUUUAGACAGGGAAGAAAAAAGACAGUACCUGUAGAAUAAGCUCCGGCUAACUACGUGCCAGUAGCCGCGGUAAUACGGAGGGAGCAAGCGUUGUCCGGAUUUAUUGGGGUUAAAGGGUGCGUAGACGGAGAAGCAAGUUAGUUGUUAAAUCCCUCGGCUUAACUGAGGAACUGCAACUAAAACUACUUCCCUUGAUGACUUGAGAGGAAAGUGGAAUUCGUAGUGUAGCGGUGAAA
Molecule: ribosomal RNA, 332 nt
Filed under: uncultured bacterium
Lineage: Bacteria
Description: partial 16S ribosomal RNA
Rfam family: Bacterial small subunit ribosomal RNA
Source: RNAcentral